Molecule: long non-coding RNA, 1720 nt
Filed under: Sus scrofa (pig)
Lineage: Eukaryota; Metazoa; Chordata; Mammalia; Artiodactyla; Suidae
Description: lncRNA (ENSSSCG00065060456.1)
Source: RNAcentral
GGGGACCCGGCGUCCCGUGGCGGAAAGAGGGCUCCGCGAGCGACUGAAGACGUGGGUACAGAGAACAGUAAUUAUCAUACGAAGAGCAAGAAAGGCAAAGAAAAUCCUUUUCGUUUUCAAUUGGGCAAUUAAGCAGAAACUGCAAAUUAUAGUAUGAAGAAGGGAGGGGGAAGAACAAGCCGGAUCAGAAGACGAAAACGCUUUGGGAAUGCUGAAUCAAGAGGAGGUAUAGUUUUGGAUCUUUUUUUCUUUCUUUCUUUUUGGUCUUUUUAGGGUCAUACCCAUGACAUAUGGAGGUUCCCAGGCUAGGGGUUGAAUUGGACCUGCAGCUGCUGGCCUACGCCACAGCCCCAGCAACACUGGAUCCGAGGCUUAUCUGUGACCUACACCACAGUUCAUGGCAACGCUGGGUCCUUAACCCACUGAGCGAGGCCAGGGAUCAAACCCACAUCCUCAUGGAUACUAGUUGGGUUCAUUACCACUGAGCCACGAUGGGAACUCCCCAGUUUUGCUUCUUUUGAUGCCAGUGAUGAUAAAAGGAAUCCUUGGUUGUAUGGUAUUAGUGGACACACAAAGCUUUUCUCAAAGGCACAGUGGGCAGAGUUCAUAGAGGAUGUUUCUUAAAUAAUAUUCUUUUUAGUAGUGCCAUUAUGUAUUUUUAAACUCUUGUAGGAAUACAGCUAUCAAUAUUUGGGUAUAAAUUUGUCAUUUCAAGUUCAGUGUAACCCAAUCUGAAUGAGAUACUAUAUGUGAAAGUGCUUGGCCAGCUGGAGAGUACUACAUAAAUGCAGUUGUGAUUAUUAUUUUCUCUUUGGGCUGCCUUGUGGCAUAUGGAGCAACUUUGUUAUUUUUGGUAAAAAUGAAUCACACUGCUCCUAGAGGGCCCCCAGCGUGUUCAUGCCAACACCUCCGGCUGUUUAUCCUUCGUUGCCUGCUGUAGCCCAUGUCCUACUCACUCUUGCCUGGCCUUUCUUACGUUAACUUCUCCCUCCUUGUCCUGGCCAGAGAUGAUUUCAGCUGAUGUAAUGCUCUUUGCUGGUUUACCACAUCCUUGUUUUUCUUCCCUGCUCCCUUCUGGUGGUUCCGUUUAUCACCGUCAGCCCAACUUUCCCAAGGGACUGUCGUCAGUUAGUCUUCUUGGUUUAGGAAACUCCAGGGAUGCUCAUUCCAUUUUGUGUGAUAUUCAAACUCCUGCCCAACAUCAACUCCCUUUCUUUUUUCUUUUUUGGCCAUGCCUGUGGCAGGAGGAAUCUUCCAGGCCAGGGAUCGAACCCACGCUACAGCAGUGACCUGACCCACAGCAGUGACAAUGCUGGAUCCUUAACCUGCUGCACCACAAGGGAACUCCUGCCCCAUUUUAACCGUUUUUAAGUGUAGUUCAGUACAUUUACAUUGCCGUGCAACCCAUCUCCAGGAUUCUUUUCAUCUUGCAAAACUGGAACUCUAUACCGUUGAAUAAUAACUCCUCAUUGCCCUCUCCCCUGAGCCCCUGGCAGCCACCAUCCUACUUUUUGUUUCCCUGAACUUGACUGUCCCAGAUACCUCAUGUAAGUGGAAUCAUGCAGUAUUAUUCUUUUUGUGAAUGGCUUACUUCACUUUCAUUAAUGCUCUGAGGAUUCAUCUAUGAAGUGUGUGGCAUCUGGAUUGGUUCCUGCUGAGAGCUGUGAGAGAGGGGUCUGUCCUAGGUCUCUCUCUCUGGCUUUGUAGAUGUCUGUCUUCU